This is a long non-coding RNA of Passer domesticus (house sparrow), 436 nucleotides long. RefSeq lists it as uncharacterized. The record is from RefSeq and is a predicted model, not a curated record. The transcript is spliced from 4 exons. Lineage: Eukaryota; Metazoa; Chordata; Aves; Passeriformes; Passeridae.
UGUCACAAAACCAGUGGAAAAAGGAGGAAGAGCACCAUUCUCCAGAGUCUACAUGUGGUUUGUGGCCUCAGCCUGCAAAGUUUAUGAAGCACAAUCCUGGCUGGGGGUCUCAUACAAACCAAUUUCCUCCUCCUCCUGAAAGGCUGGUUUGCUCACACCACAGACAAGGAUCCAGCUGAACUCUUCUCUUUUCCCCAGGCAUUCCUACAUGGUCAGUGCAACAAUUCCAUAUUUUCAGCUCUCCAGAUUGCAGUGAACGACAAACAAAACCAGAUGACCCAUGAAUGAAAAAUAAGGUGGUGACAUGCUCUGAGCAACACUGUUCGAUGAUAAAGAGACACUGUCAUGGCAGGAUAGAUUGUCCUACUAGUCCCAGGAGUGACGGACUUGGCUUGCAGACUCAGCUCUUGAGCAACCCUGAUAUGGGCUUAAAUAA